AAUGGCUGGCCUUAAAUUUAUGUACUUCCUUUCAAUCAUUGUCCUCUUGACCAUCACCACCGGAUCAGGAUGCAUCAUGGCGUCGCCGCCGGCAGUCAAAGGUGCUUAUUGGCCUUCAUGGUCUGAAACAUUUCCACCUUCUGCCAUAGACACAAGCUUGUUCUCUCAUGUCUACUAUGCUUUUCUCAUGCCAAACAAUGUCACAUUCAAGUUCGAAAUACCCGAUUCGACCGCCGUUCUCCUCCUUGAUUUUUCAACCACCCUUCAUCGUAAAAAGCCACCAGUGAAAACCCUCAUCUCUAUUGGCGAUGGAGGUGCUAAUCCUCGCCAGUUUGCUAGGAUGGCAUCAGAGGCAAAGUCACGCAAGGUGUUCAUAAAUUCAGCUAUUGAAGUAGCAAGAAAAUUUGGGUUUGAUGGGCUGGAUCUGGACUGGGAAUCUCCUAAGGACCCAAAAGAGAUGGAAGACCUGGGUUAUUUAUUUAAAGAAUGGCGUGAUGCUAUCCAGAAGGAGGCUAAGACCACAAAAAAGCCUCCUCUAUUGCUCACGGCUGCCGUGUACUUUUCCGUCGAGUUCUUAUGGUUCGAAAAGUACCGGAAGUACCCGGUGGCACCGAUAAAGGAAAACUUGGACUGGAUUAAUGCAAUGUGUUAUGAUUAUCAUGGUUAUUGGGACACUACAGUCACAGGGGCCCACGCUGCUUUGUAUGAUUCAAAGAGUAAUAUAAGCACAAGCUAUGGUCUUAAGUCAUGGAUUAGGGCUGGAAUGCCUCGGCACAUGGUUGUUAUGGGCCUGCCAUUGUAUGGGAGGACUUGGAAGCUCAAAGACCCAAAUCUAAACGGAAUCGGGGCACCGGCGGUCGGACUUGGCCCCGGAGAUGAAGGUGUGCUGACUUUUGCCGAGGUGGUGAAGUUCAACGAGGACAAUGGAGCAACAGUGUUAUAUGAUGUGGAAACUGUAUCCACAUAUUCAUAUGCUGGAUCAUCAUGGAUUGGGUAUGAUGAUACCUUGUCUACCACCACUAAUAUUAGAUUUGCUCAAGCCCUUGGGCUUCGUGGGUAUUUCUUUUGGACCCUUAGCUAUGAUGAUGAGUGGAAAAUCUCAAUGCAAGCUUCAAGGGCAUGGCCUAUCGAUGAAUUAUAUUAAAGAUUGGGAGAUGGUAUAAUUCAUUAUAAAUUUAUAAUUGUUAUUUCUAUUUACAAGUGAUUAAAGACUUCAUGUAAGAAGGCUAGCUGACAAUUGAAGAGAAAAUGGAAUAGUUUCCAUAUGCAAGCCCGAUAGAUAUAUAGAAGCGAAAUGUGAUGAAUACUAGCAAAAAGAAAUUAUAUGUGAAAGGAGUAAAAUAAUGAGGGUGGUGUGUGGUAGUUCAGCGGUUGUAAAGAUGUUAGAGCCUAUAUAUAUUAUAAUAGGCUAUUCCAAAAAUCAAUAAACAAGAAUAGUUUUCUCUCAU
This 1448-nucleotide unclassified non-coding RNA is filed under the name Hevea brasiliensis (rubber tree). The record is from RNAcentral. Lineage: Eukaryota; Viridiplantae; Streptophyta; Magnoliopsida; Malpighiales; Euphorbiaceae.